Molecule: small nuclear RNA, 334 nt
Filed under: Rattus norvegicus (Norway rat)
Lineage: Eukaryota; Metazoa; Chordata; Mammalia; Rodentia; Muridae
Description: 7SK RNA
Rfam family: 7SK RNA
About the family: 7SK was discovered as an abundant small nuclear RNA in the mid-70s but a possible function has only recently been suggested. Two independent studies have found that 7SK RNA binds the CDK9/cyclin T complex (known as elongation factor P-TEFb). P-TEFb activates transcription by phosphorylating the C-terminal domain of RNA polymerase II.
Source: Rfam by way of RNAcentral
GGAUGUGAGGGCGAUCUGGCUGCGACAUCUGUCACCCCAUUGAUCGCCAGGGUCGAUUCGGCUGAUCUGGCUGGCUAGGCGGGUGUCCCCUUCCUCCCUCACCGCUCCAUGUGCGUCCCUCCCGAAGCUGCGCGCUCGGUCGAAGAGGAUGACCUUCCCCGAAUAGAGGAGGACCAGUCUUCGGUCAAGGGUAUACGAGUAGCUGCGCUCCCCUACUAGAACCUCCAAACAAGCUCUAAAAUACAAGACAAACACUUUUUUUUUCUUCAAAUCAAAAAGUUCAAGUUAAGAACAUGUAAUAUCCACAAAAGGUUUUUCAAAUAUGAAGAUUUUU